This is a long non-coding RNA of Hemicordylus capensis (graceful crag lizard), 2113 nucleotides long. RefSeq lists it as uncharacterized. The transcript has 4 exons. Lineage: Eukaryota; Metazoa; Chordata; Lepidosauria; Squamata; Cordylidae. The record is from RefSeq and is a predicted model, not a curated record.
CUUGGACAGUGUGCUGAGAGCAGAGCUUGCUGAGAGACCAUUUAUUUUGUUUCUUGAGCCUCAGAUUAUUCAGAACGCUACCCACCAGGCAAAGCCUAUCAACAAACAAUCUCAUCCAUCCAUGACAGGCACCCCAAAGUAUACAGAUUUACACUGAGAUAUAAUUAGAAAAAAUAAUACGCCAAAUGGCAUAUGAAGUCUUAGGUCCUGCCCGUGCACUGAUGGAUUGCCCAAGGUUAGGGUCUGAUUCCCACAAAAGGGUGCAGUUCAUGCCCUGGCAGUGGAGCAGAGACCCAAUUUCAACCACAGCAUGAGCAUGGCAGUAGCCAUCACACAGCAUCUCAAAAAUAUUGGGAUUUUGAGGUGGUUAAAAAAAGGUGGCCUAUGAUAAAGCUGCUAUGUAGUAUUUCCAACAUAUAUAAGUAGAACGACCCAGAAGGAAGACUAGCUCUACACACAAGUCACUGAAAGGAUUUAUGAGCUCCAAAGCAAAACAGCCAAUAAAAGGAAGCUGUUGAUUGACAUGUGGAUAUGGAAAAAAACAUAUUUGGAGAUGGAACAACUAUAGCAGAAUACCCAUGACAGAAGAAACAUUAUUCUUAAGAAGACAGCACUUACAGAACAAUGUCAAAGAAGUGAGAGGCAUAAAACUAAACAGUAUUCUAAAACUGUAUUGGUGUUGAAAAAGAGAGAUCAAACUUUGUCUGAGCCAUGAAACUUUAAAAGGAAAUCAAGAAUACCAUGUUCAAAGAGGCAUUGCCAUAUGAUCUGGAAGGAAGUCAAAUGUUUCACAAAACAGUUGCAUUUGCAAAAGCCUAGUAAUGCAGCUCUUUGAUCCUAAACACGUUUCUUUAGAAGUGUGUCCAAAUCAUUUCUACCAAUGCUGAGCUAAAACUGCUACCUGUGCUUUUGAACAUUUUUGGUAAUACCACAAAACAACCCAUCCUUUUGUGAUUUUUGAGCACUCAUUGCAAAAAUAUUGCCUUAUUCAUGUAAUCUGUUGUCACGUGCCUUCACUCUCAACUGCCUCCAAGUGCCCACAGUGGCUGACAUAAUAUGAAAGAGUUUGCCACCCUAGUAAUGUUGUAUUUCUGCAGUUUGUGUAAGCCAUGUAAGUUGUGCAAUGCAAAACUUUACGCAAAUUGCAUCACACAAGAAUAAACAUGUUAUUUCCAAUGGGUUUGCUCUUGUGUGAUACAAUUUGCACAAUUUACAUAAAUUGUGCAAAUGCAACAUUACUAGGCUGAUGUGCUCUUAUGCAGUAUGUCAGCCAGUGACAUCAUCAUAUAAUCAAAUCUGUAUGUAGUGCUGUAAUGUCAUCCGAUUCACUGCAUGAUCCCUGAUUGGGGUUAGGUAGAUAUGGGUAAGAGCAAAGGUUGAAAGCAAGUGUAGUGUUGAACAGCUGUGAAUGGACGUUCCAGGUUCAGGUUUCAGUUCAACCAUGAACUCACUGUCAGUAAUAAUAAGAUAAUAGUAAUAAUUAUAAUAGUAAUAAUAUUGGACUGACUUACAGGGCUGAACAGUAGAAUUCCUGAACUAUUUUUGCCAUUUAAAAAAAUGUGUGAUGUAAAUAUUGUUGCUGUUGCUUUCUUGUGUCAUCAUUUCCCACCAUGGUCCUGGAGAAUGAAUAAGUAAUAUAGUAUUACAGGCAUAACCUGCUCCAGGCAAAUAAUUCAGCAUUUGCACACUUAAGUGGUCCUGAGAAAUUUUUAACCAAAUAUGUUUUAACGGUUCCCAAACAGUUUCUAUUAAUACUUUCGAGGAAAAUCAAAUAAUAGACUAUAAGACAAUUUGUUCCACCUCCUUGCCCUACAGAUGCUAAUAUAGAUUUGGUCAAUAAGUACCAAUUGAGUCCACACAGGUACCACAAAUGCUUUCAAGUAAUUUAUUAGUUAAUGUAUAGAUUAAAUUGCUUUUUUAGAACAACCAAAAAUGGUUCUUUAAGUUAAUCUUUACAUCAAUAUAAUCAUCUUCAGAGUGGUCUCUUUACAGUAAGACCACAGCUAUGAAAAAGCCAAGAAGUAUAAAGAUUAAGCUGAAAACACUGAAUUGAUCUGUUAAUAUCAGUGGUCAUAAGUGCACGCUGUACCAUCCUUUCAGAUUAUAGAAUAAA